CUGCUGCCUUCCGUAGGAGUUUGGGCCGUGUCUCAGUCCCAAUGUGGCCGUCCACCCUCUCAGGCCGGCUACUGAUCGUCGCCUUGGUGGGCCGUUACCCCGCCAACAAGCUAAUCAGACGCGGGUCCAUCUUACACCACCGGAGUUUUUCACACAAAUCCAUGCGGCUUCGUGCGCUUAUGCGGUAUUAGCACCUAUUUCUAAGUGUUAUCCCCCAGUGUAAGGCAGGUUACCCACGCGUUACUCACCCGUCCGCCACUAAGAUUA
RNAcentral lists this ribosomal RNA (267 nucleotides) under uncultured bacterium. Its description in RNAcentral is "partial 16S ribosomal RNA". The record is from RNAcentral.